AGCAGCCGCGGUAAUUCCAGCUCCAAUAGCGUAUAUUAAAGUUGUUGCAGUUAAAAAGCUCGUAGUUGAAUUUCGGGAUCAGAUUGUCGGUCGUGCCUCGGUACGCACUGGUAUUAUUGGUUCCUACCUUCUGAAGAACCGCGAUGUCAUUAAUUUGGUGUCGUGGGGAAUCAGGACUGUUACUUUGAAAAAAUUAGAGUGUUUAAAGCAGGCUUACGCUUGAAUACAUUAGCAUGGAAUAAUGAAAUAGGACGUUUGAUUCUAUUUUGUUGGUUUCUAGGAUUGACGUAAUGAUUAAUAGGGAUAGUUGGGGGCAUUAGUAUUCAAUUGUCAGAGGUGAAAUUCUUGGAUUUAUUGAAGACUAACUACUGCGAAAGCAUUUGCCAAGGAUGUUUUC
This 397-nucleotide ribosomal RNA is filed under the name uncultured Glomeromycotina. Its description in RNAcentral is "SSU rRNA". It matches the Rfam family "Eukaryotic small subunit ribosomal RNA", at positions 569 to 971 of the family's 1831-position model. Lineage: Eukaryota; Fungi; Glomeromycota. The record is from RNAcentral.